UACGGAGGGUGCAAGCAUUAAUCGGAUUUAUUGGGCGUAAAGGGCGCGUAGGCGGGCAAAUAAGUCAGAUGUGAAAUCCCGGGGCUCAACCCCGGAACAGCAUUUGAAACUAUAUGUCUUGAGGGUAGGCGGAGAAAAUGGAAUUCCACAAGUAGCGGUGAAAUGCGUAGAUAUGUGGAAGAACGCCAGUGGCGAAGGCGGUUUUCUAGCUUACUCCUGACGCUGAGGCGCGAAAGCAAGGGGAU
RNAcentral lists this ribosomal RNA (245 nucleotides) under uncultured Neochlamydia sp. RNAcentral's name for it is "partial 16S ribosomal RNA". It matches the Rfam family "Bacterial small subunit ribosomal RNA", at positions 524 to 768 of the family's 1533-position model. The record is from RNAcentral. Lineage: Bacteria; Pseudomonadati; Chlamydiota; Chlamydiia; Parachlamydiales; Parachlamydiaceae.